UGUCAAUGAUGACUACCCCAUAGGCUCGUUUCUCAAAACAUUCGCAGUAGCCACCUUAGAGCUUUUGCCUUCGCCAGGCUUGAGGGUUUGUGCUGCUUAAAUUCUUCCUUGGAUACCUGAGAUC
Molecule: non-coding RNA, 124 nt
Organism: Vitis vinifera (wine grape)
Lineage: Eukaryota; Viridiplantae; Streptophyta; Magnoliopsida; Vitales; Vitaceae
Source: Rfam